Molecule: non-coding RNA, 22 nt
Filed under: Rattus norvegicus (Norway rat)
Lineage: Eukaryota; Metazoa; Chordata; Mammalia; Rodentia; Muridae
Source: RNAcentral
CAAAAUGAGUUACAAAUUCAAC